CUUCCCGGCGGGGAAUCGAACCCCGAUCGGCCGCGUGACAGGCGGAAUACUAACCACUAUACUACCGAGGA
Molecule: transfer RNA, 71 nt
Filed under: Cordylochernes scorpioides
Lineage: Eukaryota; Metazoa; Arthropoda; Arachnida; Pseudoscorpiones; Chernetidae
Description: tRNA-Asp
Source: RNAcentral